UCAGGCUCAUGGCUGGGUGUGAUGGCCCUGCCCAGUUUUGUGCUGGGCAAUGCAGUGCACAAGGGCAUGGUAAGGAAUGUACAUUUUUUCCACUCCAGAUGGCUCACUCAAAUUGAUCCUGCAGUCAUUCAGACUGGAAGUACAGUUCCUACCUCCUGAUGGUUACCAGCAGCCUGUUUGAACAGAGUUGAUGACUCCCAGCGGUGCUCUUGAUGGGCAAUGUCUCCAUCCUUUAACAUCAUCCUCACAGACAGGAAAUGGGGAUAAUGCUUGGAGCUGUCAAUGCAGGGACCAUUCACCAGUGCCUGGCAACCUUGCUGAAGUGACUGAAUUAUAUUCCCAUCAGCAGAAAGUAGGAAAUGAGGUACAGUGAUUUAAACAUGGGACUGGAGGAAUUUGACCUUCUUACCGCAAAAAGGAAUGAGCUUGUUAACACCCUGUUUUCUUGAUGAGACUUUGGGAAGCGUGGCAGGUGAGGAUGGAGAACCUGCAGAAAGGCCUGUGUGAAAGUGCCCAUGAGAAUAACCUGACAGCUGUGCUGGAGAUACACUGGGGCCAAAGAAGAACAUCUACUGCACUCCUGAGGCUUCUCUCAGAAGCUGGAUCUUGUAUUUCCAAAAGGUUACAAGCACACAGAGUGGGGUGGCUUUGCCCAGCAGCUCAGGCCAAUCCAGCUUGACAAUAACAAUGGAAAUCUGGUUUGGUUUUGAGCCUGGCUUUGAUGUGGGGCACUGGAAACCAUGAGAGUGCCAAGAAAACGUUGACUGCCUUGGAUGACAGCAAAUCUCACACAUCCUGACCAGGGAGGUGCCUCCCUCCCAGCAGCUGCAGGCUUUAGGAAAGAGAUUGUCCAGCAUUUCCAUUUGAGCCCUACUUAAAGCUGCAGAUCUAUCAGUGUGGUGUACAAACAUGACAGCUAAGCAAAGCCACAGGCCACCAACUGCUGAUGGUCCAAGACCUCCAUAUGAGGACAAACAUUCCCAGGUAAGGAUUGAGUGAGCUUCAGGAAUGGAGAACAACCCACCCAGGCUUGAAAGAAGAGACCAGAAAUUGGCAAUUCCCGUCACUGUGUGUUAGCUAAGGAAUAAACCUGCCCAGGUAACCAUCCAGACUUUCCCCUGGCAUCAUGGUGAGCACAUCCCAGAGAUGGUGGUGUGUGAGAGAAGAGAACAAACUUCCUCCUUCCCAGGCAAAACACUCUCCGAUCAGGUUCCAGGCUUCAGAGCUGAGCUAGCUGGUUGCCAAGGCACUCUGGAAAAUGUGGGUGGUGUCUGGGGAGUAAGGGACUGAGUUUGGUGGGAGAGGGACUGAGGGAUAAAGAAAAGGACUUGAUUUUUAGGGAUGGGAGUAAACAUAGCAGGAUUUUGACAGCAGGCUUCAGCUCUUGCCUCAGCAAA
Zonotrichia albicollis (white-throated sparrow) is the source of this 1397-nucleotide non-coding RNA. Lineage: Eukaryota; Metazoa; Chordata; Aves; Passeriformes; Passerellidae. The record is from RefSeq and is a predicted model, not a curated record.